CAGUCGCCACGGGAAUACGUAGGGUGCAAGCGUUAAUCGGAAUUACUGGGCGUAAAGCGUGCGCAGGCGGUUAUAUAAGACAGAUGUGAAAUCCCCGGGCUCAACCUGGGAACUGCAUUUGUGACUGUAUAGCUAGAGUACGGCAGAGGGGGAUGGAAUUCCGCGUGUAGCAGUGAAAUGCGUAGAUAUGCGGAGGAACACCGACGGCGAAGGCAAUCCCCUGGGCCUGUACUGACGCUCAUGCACGAAAGCGUGGGGAGCAAACAGGAUUAGAUACCCCCGUAGUCCCUGUCUCUUAUAA
This 301-nucleotide ribosomal RNA is filed under the name uncultured bacterium. RNAcentral describes it as "partial 16S ribosomal RNA". It matches the Rfam family "Bacterial small subunit ribosomal RNA", at positions 509 to 809 of the family's 1533-position model. The record is from RNAcentral.